RNAcentral lists this long non-coding RNA (336 nucleotides) under Trifolium pratense (red clover). RNAcentral's name for it is "long non-coding RNA (TPRA_LNC005754)". The record is from RNAcentral. Lineage: Eukaryota; Viridiplantae; Streptophyta; Magnoliopsida; Fabales; Fabaceae.
AUCACACAACUAUGAAAGAAGGUAACACAUAGUAAGACUACUUCCAAGAGAGGUAAGUAGCAUCAGAGGCAUGCAAUAGCAGGAAUAAACACAUAUAGCCUCACAGAGCAGAUAGAGAGAAAUAAACUCUCAUAGUGGAUUCAAAGAUAGGAGAAAUAAACUCCUAUAAUCAGAGUACAUCCUUUCAACAAAAGAUCACCAGGGAAAAAUAAAUUCCCACAAACAUAGAACUAGGAAAAAUAAGUUCCCAGCCACCAGAGAAUAAAGCCAAGAUGUCUCAGCAUCUGGCAUCACACUUGUCACUUAUUCAUACUACCACUCCCCCUGAAUUUGUGC